RNAcentral lists this unclassified non-coding RNA (303 nucleotides) under plant metagenome. RNAcentral describes it as "partial contains 5.8S ribosomal RNA, internal transcribed spacer 2, and large subunit ribosomal RNA". The stretch from base 1 to 105 matches the Rfam family "5.8S ribosomal RNA", at positions 50 to 154 of the family's 154-position model. The record is from RNAcentral.
GAAAUGCGAUAAGUAAUGUGAAUUGCAGAAUUCAGUGAAUCAUCGAAUCUUUGAACGCACAUUGCGCCCGCCAGUAUUCUGGCGGGCAUGCCUGUUCGAGCGUCAUUUCAACCAUCAAGCCCCGCGCUUGUGUUGGGGACCUGCGGCUGCCGCAGGCCCUGAAAACCAGUGGCGGGCUCGCUGUCACACCGGGCGUAGUAGAUUUUAUCUCGCUCAGGGCGUGCUGCGGGUUCCGGCCGUUAAAAAGCCUUUUUUACCCAAGGUUGACCUCGGAUCAGGUAGAAAGACCCGCUGAACUUAAGC